UUCCAGACUCCUACGGGAGGCAGCAGUGGGGAAUAUUGGGCAAUGGGCGCAAGCCUGACCCAGCAACGCCGCGUGAAGGAAGAAGGCUUUCGGGUUGUAAACUUCUUUUGUCAGGGACGAAGCAAGUGACGGUACCUGACGAAUAAGCCACGGCUAACUACGUGCCAGCAGCCGCGAUAAUACGUAGGUGGCAAGCGUUGUCCGGAUUUACUGGGUGUAAAGGGCGUGCAGCCGGGAGUGCAAGUCAGAUGUGAAAUCCCGCGGCUCAACCGCGGAACUGCAUUUGAAACUGUGCUUCUUGAGUGCUGGAGAGGCAGACGGAAUUCCUAGUGUAGCGGUGAAAUGCGUAGAUAUUAGGAGGAACACCAGUGGCGAAGGCGGUCUGCUGGACAGUAACUGACAGUGAGGCGCGAAAGCGUGGGGAGCAAACAGGAUUAGAUACCCUUGUA
This 449-nucleotide ribosomal RNA is filed under the name uncultured bacterium. Its description in RNAcentral is "bacterial SSU rRNA". It matches the Rfam family "Bacterial small subunit ribosomal RNA", at positions 329 to 792 of the family's 1533-position model. The record is from RNAcentral.